RNAcentral lists this ribosomal RNA (652 nucleotides) under uncultured soil bacterium. Its description in RNAcentral is "bacterial SSU rRNA". It matches the Rfam family "Bacterial small subunit ribosomal RNA", at positions 17 to 649 of the family's 1533-position model. The record is from RNAcentral.
UCCUGGCUCAGAACGAACGCUGGCGGCGUGCCUAACACAUGCAAGUCGAACGUGAUUGGAAGCUUGCUUCCAUGAAAGUGGCGCACGGGUGAGUAACGCGUAGAUAAUCUGCCUGGUGAUUUGGGAUAACACUUCGAAAGGGGUGCUAAUACCGAAUAAGCUCACGGAGUCUUCGGAUUCUGCGAGAAAAGGGGGGGACCUUCGGGCCUUCUGUCACCAGAUGAGUCUGCGUACCAUUAGCUAGUUGGUGGGGUAAAGGCCUACCAAGGCUACGAUGGUUAGCUGGUCUGAGAGGAUGAUCAGCCACACUGGAACUGAGACACGGUCCAGACUCCUACGGGAGGCAGCAGUGGGGAAUUUUGCGCAAUGGGGGAAACCCUGACGCAGCAACGCCGCGUGAGUGAUGAAGGCCUUCGGGUCGUAAAGCUCUGUCAGAGGGAAAGAAAUGUGGGGCGUUAAUACCGCUUCCACUUGACGGUACCCUCAAAGGAAGCACCGGCUAACUCCGUGCCAGCAGCCGCGGUAAUACGGGGGGUGCAAGCGUUGUUCGGAUUUAUUGGGCGUAAAGCGCGUGUAGGCGGUUUUUUAAGUCUGAUGUGAAAGCCCCGGGCUCAACCUGGGAAGUGCAUUGGAUACUGGGAGACUUGAAUAC